This is a non-coding RNA of Aegilops tauschii subsp. strangulata, 9472 nucleotides long. NCBI's taxonomy places the organism in Eukaryota, Viridiplantae, Streptophyta, Magnoliopsida, Poales, Poaceae. The record is from RefSeq and is a predicted model, not a curated record.
CCUCCUGCCAGAGCCCCCCCCCCACCAUACGUGGAUCUGGCCGGGAGCCCCGCCGCCGAUGAGGGCCACACCGGCGAUCUCGCGCAACCUACCCGCCUCCUGUUUCCUCUCCGUUCUCCUCCUUCUCUCUCCAACCCUUGUUCAUCCGCGGCCGCAGCUCGCCCCGAUUCAUGGCCCUCUCCUUCCGCCAACUCUGGUCCGUCACCGGUCGUCUGUGGCGCGAGCGUCGCGCCUCCUCCUCAACCUCCUCGAUCCGUGAUGCCCUAACUGCACUGCGCACUUGCGCCUCGCGAGCCAUGGCCACCUUUUGCCGAGCUGCGGGAUCGACGUCUGACCGCCACCACGACCGGCCUCUUGCGAAGGUCCCGGUCGCCGUCUCCUGUGCCUUUGGACCUUGGGAGCGGUGAUUAUAUGCCAGCAUGUGUGCAGGACGAUGGGAAGACGAGCUAGAGGCCAAAAGCAAUAUUGCAACACCAUGCGUGAGGAACAUGAUUCUGCCAGUAUUUAAGCAUUAUACUUGCUAACACUGAGAGCUUAAUUAUCUUUGAUGCAACCAGUCCGUCCAAGCAUGCAAAUAGUUGAUUUGGGAUGUAGAGAUUAAAGAACAGCAAAAUCGUAAGCCAUCGGGUCAGGACGUCAGGUUCAGAAUUGUCUUGGCAUCUUCCAGUGUGGCGACGAUGUUGAUUGUCGGGAUUUGAAGAUAAGUGUGCUCCAUACCGUGGCUGAGCCUGUCGGUUUCGCAGAGUGGCUGCACGACACCUCAUGGACCCGAUGUGAAGGACAAGUAAGCCAUCCACACGAAGUCGGCGGCAGCAAGGGUGUGGGGCGUCGGGAGGAGCAUCUGGGUUGAAGAUUCUGGCCCUCGCCAUUGAGACUACCGUGGUCGUCGCCGAGUACAUCUGGGGAAGGUGGAGCUGCGAGGAAACAAGACAGGUGGACAAUGCGACAGGAAGCAAGAAUGAAUUUCUAAUCAAUCUACUGUCUCCCUUGAGUCGGAGUGAACGUACCACCUACCAUGGUUUUUUUGGUACCUGCUCCCACCUAACGCUCAACCGCGUAGAACCAAAAAAAAACUCCUGCCGAGUCCCUCGCCCGCCCCCACACCCUCGCAUCAUGAGUGAAAAACCAUCCACGAAGUGAAGCAAAUAAAAUCUACAAAAAUUAACCAGCGAAAAAACCUACGAAAAUUAACCAGCGAAAAAAACACAAACGAAUCGCACGCAGGUUCGACGGGGCUCCCCUCGAUCUGUUUCCCAGGUCGAUCCUCGGGACGCCCCAGCGGCGACAGCCCUUCACCAUCGCCGAGAUCCGAGAGGAGCCACCGCCACCGAGGUCCGGGAGGAGCCGCCGCCGCACCGUCUUCCUCCUCCGCCGACCUCCAAGGCACCCUACUCGUGGGACGCCGCCGCCUCGCGGAACCCGAGGGCAGGGCAGGGCGUGAUCGCGUUGCGGUCGAGGUCCAAGAUCGCUGCCGCCGAGGUCCAAGAUCGCCGCCAUCGACCUCUGAGAUCGCCAUCCCUCUCUAUUUCUGGUUCGCUGGCCUCUUUCCCUUUUACAUCUCUCUUUGGUGCGCGUGCAUCGCUGUCGGUGUCCACUAUCGGCCGCCUCCGCCGUCGAUUGGUGCCCCCAUGUCGCUACCGACUCCGACGAGAUCUCCUAUUUCCAACAUAUGCAGCCGCCUCGCUGUUCUGGCCCCAUGUGCGGCCCCGUGGCUAACCCUAGCCACCUCUAUCUCCGACGGUGAUGCCUCCUCUUCCUCUUGCAGUCCCAUCCUCGUCCUUGCUGGUGCUCCACACGUAUAUCCGACGGUGACGGCGACCGACGGGCUGUGGGCCUACCAGAGGGCGCGGCAGGCGACAGCGCAAGGCCGCUCGCAGCAGGGCGCGUGGUCGAUGCUCACGACAAUGGUGGGCGUGAGCAUGGCACAGGCAGCGGCCAGGUGCAUGCGAGUGGUAGCCGGCGAGGACAUGUUGAUGUUCAUCCGGGCCACACGAUCCAAGGCAUGGAGAACUCCAAGGAGUUUGCUGACAAGCUGUUCGGGAUAUGUCGAGGCAAAGGAACAUUGAGCCAGAUGAAGGCAUUAACAAGGAUCAGCUCAGAGAGGUGGAACAUGAACAUUGAUGGGAUGCUCACAGAAGAUGAGGUCAAGAAGGUGGCUACGCAAAUGAUCACAAAGAGAAGACUACCGCUGGGCCUUUUGAUCGACCACGCGAUUCAAAAAGCUCUUUAGUGCAGUUUGCAACAAAAAAAAUCAGAGGAUUGGUCGUUUGUAAGGGUGGAUAUCUUAGAGGCGGCAGCCACCCGGAUUGGAAUUUAAUUUCAAUCUAUUUCCCUGUCUGAAGUUUCAUACUAGAUGAGUUGCAAGUGGUACUAUGUUCCUACGCUGCGUCGACCCGAGCAGUUGCGAGAGCGAAUGAAGUUGCGGUUGCACGGACAAGCUUGUGGAGGUGUUAGUAUGCACGCAUGCGUCCCUGAUUUGGAGCAUGCCUCUGGCCUGGUAGGAUUCUCGCUCUGCCCCGACCUCAAGGGCGUUCCUCUAUCUGUGUCGUGCUCGGGACCAUGCACUAAUGCAGGAAGAGAGUACGAUUUUUUGACACAAUCUGCAGUACCUGUGAGCCUGCCCAUAGGUAGAUAUGGAUACAUUUUGUAGCUUCCAUUCUUGUUUUCUCAUUAAAAUUAUGGAUUUGGAAACUAAUCAUGGAGUGUCUAGAUUGCCUGCUAUAUUACCAAGUGCGCUGGAGGAAAAGUUGCUGCCACUGUUGAUGACCACUCUAGGUGAUAUAAUUCAUGUUUGCUUUGUUGUUUUACUAACUUCCUGUAGCAUAUUGGUUCCAUCUUUUUUCUUUUGCAUCAUGGUACAUUAUUCUCAUCUUGAUAUAUAUCAUUUGGUCAACUGAAGAUUUGAGUGCAGGGUAGAAUUCUUGGUUGAUUUUAGAAUUUCGUUGUUGAUUAGUUGGCCAACGGACUUUUAUGAAAUUCAAGGCGUCAUUUAGUGUACUAUAUGUCAUAUUUGUCUUAUUUCUAUACUCACAAUAUUUCCGCAUCAUCUGAACAAAUGAUGCUAAAUUGAUAUAAUCAUUUUGGAUCAGUGUCAUCUUCUCAAUGCUGAACAGCCAAAAUAUAUACAUAGUGAGCAUUCCGCCGCACAUGCUCAUACGUCAUAUUUAUGUAUUAAACUUAUGUACUGUUUAAUACGGCAAAAAUUGGUCAAACAUUUAAAAAUUUCUACUGUUUAACACAACCAAAGUAUAUACAUAAUGAUCAGUCCUUCGCUGCACGUUAGAUCCAGCCUCCCUCCCUUGACACCAUUCUUCUUACUUAUUAUUAUUUAUUUUAAAAAUAUCUUUAGUUUUAUUUUCUAGCUACUUCAAUUCAUUUGUAUAUGGUUAGUUCCAUCGCACUACGAGGAUGAUCCAUGGCUGGUCGCGGACGAUCACCUGCGAGGAUGAUUCAUGGCCGGUUGGGGAUGGUCAGUUCCAUCACACUGCGAGGAGAUGAUUCAUGGUCAGUCGGGGAUGGUCACCUGCGGUGAGCACGAGUACCUCCUCCAUAUCCUCCCUAUACUAGCACCCUUGGCGAUGAAAAUGACAGCCAGGAGAAUCCCUCCUUCACACCUCUUUUCCAUCUCUGUCAGAUUGUCCUCUCCAGCAAGGCCAACCUUAAUACUGGACCUUGAAAGGGGCAUGUGGCCAACCAUGCCGGAGGACGCAGAUGAGUUGUUUGGGAAUGUUAUCAUGAGAGGACCCAAGAAGCAACCCACCACGGAUGCAUGGACCAACCACGCAAGUCCAUUCUUGCAAUCCAUCUGUGGCGAGGGUUCAUGACAGACAAGCCAAUAGAUUUGGGGGUCCACUUCUUGGUGAAACAAAUGUUCAUUGCGGACAAUACGAAGACGAUGAUUGGUACAAUGAGGUGAAUAUAUUAGAAUUUUUAUUCUUCUCUCUCCAUGUCUAUGUUUGUGCUUGAUCAACUGUCCACUUAAUGAUUUUAGUUGUACAAAGUCCUAAGCUGGUCUCACUAGGUCGUACCCAGUGGCGGAGACAGGGGGGCCAGCAGGGCCCUGGCCCCCCCUAACACCAUGAUUUUGCAUGUAAUUUGCUAUGAACAGUGGCAAAAUUAGUACUAAUUUGCUGCUAAAAAUCUAUUUUUCAACACUUUGGUCCUCCCCAACCAGUUUUAGUAGCACUUGGCCUCCCUUAUAGAUAUUUUCUGGCUCCGCCACUGGUUCGUACUCGUACCACACCGUGGGAAGGUUAUGGCCAAGAAUGAGCUGGAGGUUAUUGCUUUGGCGACGCCGAAGGCCGUUCACGCGAAGAGGAGAUGUGCCUGGUGACGAGAAGUCUUAGACCAUCGUUGAGUUUUGCUUCCUAUCAAUUCAGCAGUGUGUGUACAUGUUCAGAAUUGUUGGCUACAAACACUUGAAUUAUCUCCAAUCAUGUACUUCAGGUUCUACCAUCUUCCAUAUUUACCAUGUUUUGUCACUUAACAAAAUUUACAUAACUAUUUUGUGUAUGUAUGCAAAAUUCUGGUUUAGAAACUUAAUGCAGAAUUAAACAAAAUUAUCAUUCAGUAUUAAGAAUUUACAUUUAUCAUAAGAAAUGGCAAACUCAUAGGUAUUUCAAUCUAGAAAUUACAAUGCAAUGUUCAGGGAAGAUGGCGAGCUUCUAAUUAGCGGUAAUUUUAUUCUGUUGAAACCGAAAGAUAUGGAUGAGCCAUGAUAAUGAGUGUUAGGGGAUUGGACGGCACGACGUAAAAAGAUAUCAUUUUUACUAAAUAACUUCAUUUUCCGCAGAAACUUCCUUGCACUAAACUUACAAUAUUGGCUUCUCCAGAUGUACAUAAGCUAUUAGCUCUUAGCUCUAUUUAAUUCCACUCAUAUUUACGAAAGUGCUCUUUUGAUCCCGAGUUCACAAUCUCCCUGAUGAACAGUAAAAUCCAAAAAAUUAGUUAAAGAAUUCAAAAAAAUUCUGGAUUUAAACAUCGAUGAACGUUUUAACUUCCUGCAAAUUUUUGUGAUGAAAUAACAUUGGUGGAGGUCUGGACAAAAAGAAAAAAAUCGAUGCUCCAAAAUGCUUCCGAGAACAAAUCUUUUGGAGCGUCGAUUUUUUUUGCCCAGACCUACACGAGAUCGCAGGUGAUAUAAUUCAUGUUUGCUUUGUUGUUUCAGUAACUUCCUGUAGCAUAUUGGUUCCAUCUUUUUUUUGCAUCAUGGUACAUUAUUCUCAUCUUGAUAUAUAUCAUUUGGUCAACUGAAGAUUUGAGUGCAGGGUAGAAUUCUUGGUUGAUUUUAGAAUUUCGUUGUUGAUUAGUUGGCCAACGGACUUUUAUGAAAUUCAAGGCGUCAUUUAGUGUACUAUAUGUCAUAUUUGUCUUAUUUCUAUACUCACAAUAUUUCCGCAUCAUCUGAACAAAUGAUGCUAAAUUGAUAUAAUCAUUUUGGAUCAGUGUCAUCUUCUCAAUGCUGAACAGCCAAAAUAUAUACAUAGUGAGCAUUCCGCCGCACAUGCUCAUACGUCAUAUUUAUGUACUGUUUAACACGGCAAAAAUUGGUCAAACAUUUAAACAUUUCUACUGUUUAACACAACCAAAGUAUAUACAUAAUGAUCAGCCCUUCGCUGCACGUUAGAUCCAGCCUCCCUCCCUUGACACCAUUCUUCUUACUUAUUAUUAUUAUUUUAAAAAUAUCUUUAGUUUUAUUUUCUAGCUACUUCAAUUCAUUUGUAUAUGGUUAGUUCCAUCGCACUACGAGGAUGAUCCAUGGCUGGUCGCGGACGAUCACCUGCGAGGAUGAUUCAUGGCCGGUUGGGGAUGGUCAGUUCCAUCACACUGCGAGGAGAUGAUUCAUGGUCAGUCGGGGAUGGUCACCUGCGGUGAGCACGAGUACCUCCUCCAUAUCCUCCCUAUACUAGCACCCUUGGCGAUGAAAAUGACAGCCAGGAGAAUCCCUCCUUCACACCUCUUUUCCAUCUCUGUCAGAUUGUCCUCUCCAGCAAGGUGUCUAUGCAUGAAUCAUAUUUAUGAUUUCUUUGCAUUUUUAACAAUUAAUAUAGAUUUUUGUACCCACAACCCAAAGGCCAACCUUAAUACUGGACCUUGAAAGGGGCAUGUGGCCAACCAUGCCGGAGGACGCAGAUGAGUUGUUUGGGAAUGUUAUCAUGAGAGGACCCAAGAAGCAACCCACCACGGAUGCAUGGACCAACCACGCAAGUCCAUUCUUGCAAUCCAUCUGUGGCGAGGGUUCAUGACAGACAAGCCAAUAGAUUUGGGGGUCCACUUCUUGGUGAAACAAAUGUUCAUUGCGGACAAUACGAAGACGAUGAUUGGUACAAUGAGGUGAAUAUAUUAGAAUUUUUAUUCUUCUCUCUCCAUGUCUAUGUUUGUGCUUGAUCAACUGUCCACUUAAUGAUUUUAGUUGUACAAAGUCCUAAGCUGGUCUCACUAGGUCGUACCCAGUGGCGGAGACAGGGGGGCCAGCAGGGCCCUGGCCCCCCCUAACACCAUGAUUUUGCAUGUAAUUUGCUAUGAACAGUGGCAAAAUUAGUACUAAUUUGCUGCUAAAAAUCUAUUUUUCAACACUUUGGUCCUCCCCAACCAGUUUUAGUAGCACUUGGCCUCCCUUAUAGAUAUUUUCUGGCUCCGCCACUGGUUCGUACUCGUACCACACCGUGGGAAGGUUAUGGCCAAGAAUGAGCUGGAGGUUAUUGCUUUGGCGACGCCGAAGGCCGUUCACGCGAAGAGGAGAUGUGCCUGGUGACGAGAAGUCUUAGACCAUCGUUGAGUUUUGCUUCCUAUCAAUUCAGCAGUGUGUGUACAUGUUCAGAAUUGUUGGCUACAAACACUUGAAUUAUCUCCAAUCAUGUACUUCAGGUUCUACCAUCUUCCAUAUUUACCAUGUUUUGUCACUUAACAAAAUUUACAUAACUAUUUUGUGUAUGUAUGCAAAAUUCUGGUUUAGAAACUUAAUGCAGAAUUAAACAAAAUUAUCAUUCAGUAUUAAGAAUUUACAUUUAUCAUAAGAAAUGGCAAACUCAUAGGUAUUUCAAUCUAGAAAUUACAAUGCAAUGUUCAGGGAAGAUGGCGAGCUUCUAAUUAGCGGUAAUUUUAUUCUGUUGAAACCGAAAGAUAUGGAUGAGCCAUGAUAAUGAGUGUUAGGGGAUUGGACGGCACGACGUAAAAAGAUAUCAUUUUUACUAAAUAACUUCAUUUUCCGCAGAAACUUCCUUGCACUAAACUUACAAUAUUGGCUUCUCCAGAUGUACAUAAGCUAUUAGCUCUUAGCUCUAUUUAAUUCCACUCAUAUUUACGAAAGUGCUCUUUUGAUCCCGAGUUCACAAUCUCCCUGAUGAACAGUAAAAUCCAAAAAAUUAGUUAAAGAAUUCAAAAAAAUUCUGGAUUUAAACAUCGAUGAACGUUUUAACUUCCUGCAAAUUUUUGUGAUGAAAUAACAUUGGUGGAGGUCUGGACAAAAAGAAAAAAAUCGAUGCUCCAAAAUGCUUCCGAGAACAAAUCUUUUGGAGCGUCGAUUUUUUUUGCCCAGACCUACACGAGAUCGCAGGUGAUAUAAUUCAUGUUUGCUUUGUUGUUUCAGUAACUUCCUGUAGCAUAUUGGUUCCAUCUUUUUUUUGCAUCAUGGUACAUUAUUCUCAUCUUGAUAUAUAUCAUUUGGUCAACUGAAGAUUUGAGUGCAGGGUAGAAUUCUUGGUUGAUUUUAGAAUUUCGUUGUUGAUUAGUUGGCCAACGGACUUUUAUGAAAUUCAAGGCGUCAUUUAGUGUACUAUAUGUCAUAUUUGUCUUAUUUCUAUACUCACAAUAUUUCCGCAUCAUCUGAACAAAUGAUGCUAAAUUGAUAUAAUCAUUUUGGAUCAGUGUCAUCUUCUCAAUGCUGAACAGCCAAAAUAUAUACAUAGUGAGCAUUCCGCCGCACAUGCUCAUACGUCAUAUUUAUGUAUUAAACUUAUGUACUGUUUAAUACGGCAAAAAUUGGUCAAACAUUUAAAAAUUUCUACUGUUUAACACAACCAAAGUAUAUACAUAAUGAUCAGUCCUUCGCUGCACGUUAGAUCCAGCCUCCCUCCCUUGACACCAUUCUUCUUACUUAUUAUUAUUUAUUUUAAAAAUAUCUUUAGUUUUAUUUUCUAGCUACUUCAAUUCAUUUGUAUAUGGUUAGUUCCAUCGCACUACGAGGAUGAUCCAUGGCUGGUCGCGGACGAUCACCUGCGAGGAUGAUUCAUGGCCGGUUGGGGAUGGUCAGUUCCAUCACACUGCGAGGAGAUGAUUCAUGGUCAGUCGGGGAUGGUCACCUGCGGUGAGCACGAGUACCUCCUCCAUAUCCUCCCUAUACUAGCACCCUUGGCGAUGAAAAUGACAGCCAGGAGAAUCCCUCCUUCACACCUCUUUUCCAUCUCUGUCAGAUUGUCCUCUCCAGCAAGGUGUCUAUGCAUGAAUCAUAUUUAUGAUUUCUUUGCAUUUUUAACAAUUAAUAUAGAUUUUUGUACCCACAGCCCGAAGGCCAACCUUAAUACUGGACCUCGAAAGGGGCAUGUGGCCAACCAUGCCGGAGGACGCAGAGGGUUGUUUGGGAAUGUUAUCAUGAGAGGACCCAAGAAGCAACCCACCACGGAUGCAUGGACCAACCACGCAAGUCCAUUCUUGCAAUCCAUCUGUGGCGAGGGUUCAUGACAGACAAGCCAAUAGAUUUGGGGGUCCACUUCCUAGUGAAACAAAUGUUCAUUGCGGACAAUACGAAGACGAUGAUUGGUACAAUGAGGUGAAUAUAUUAGAAUUUUUAUUCUUCUCUCUCCAUGUCUAUGUUUGUGCUUGAUCAACUGUCCACUUAAUGAUUUUAGUUGUACAAAGUCCUAAGCUGGUCUCACUAGGUCGUACCCAGUGGCGGAGACAGGGGGGACCAGCAGGGGCCCUGGCCCCCCCUAACACCAUGAUUUUGCAUGUAAUUUGCUAUGAACAGUGGCAAAAUUAGUACUAAUUUGCUGCUAAAAAUCUAUUUUUCAAUACUUUGGUCCUCCCCAACCAGUUUUAGUAGCACUUGGCCUCCCUUAUAGAUAUUUUCUGGCUCCGCCACUGGUUCGUACUCGUACCACACCGUGGGAAGGUUAUGGCCAAGAAUGAGCUAGAGGUUAUUGCUUUGGCGACGCCGAAGGCCGUUCACGCGAAGAGGAGAUGUGUGGCUACAAACACUUGAAUUAUCUCCAAUCAUGUACUUCAGGCUGCAGGGUUGCACCUUGGAGUUCAAAAUUUGGUGUCUUCGCAUUGAAGGAUUCAAUCCAUCGACUUUGGAGUUUGAACAUGUCACUUGUGAUGGGGAGAGGAAGAGAUGACUUGCAUACACUGGACAAUGAGUGUGUUAGCAGCGUGGUGGCUCAGGACUGUACAAGUUGUAGUAGCCCCUUCCCUUAUAAAUGUUUUGUUUUGAUUGGAAGCACCUUAUAAUUAGCUAAUAUAUGGAUUUCAUUUA